This 2718-nucleotide ribosomal RNA is filed under the name Triticum aestivum (bread wheat). Its description in RNAcentral is "partial small subunit ribosomal RNA". Lineage: Eukaryota; Viridiplantae; Streptophyta; Magnoliopsida; Poales; Poaceae. The record is from RNAcentral.
AUGAGAAGAUUCUUUUUCUUCGGGUCCCCCACGCCGAAGGACGGCGAUGGCGAUGGGACGCCAGGCGGCGAUGGCAAGAGCAAGAACAGGAGUAAGAAGGCGCUGGAGGAAGGCGAGGGUAGUUGCAACUCUAGCUCCAGGUCCCAUGACCAUGGCACGAGGAUGUCUAGAUCGAGAAGCCGCCGCGGAAGGCUGAGCAACGAGGAGCCAGCCAACCCGAAGCAGCUCAGGAGGUGCAUGUCGUUCUCAUCCGCGGCUGCGAAUAAUGGUCUGAAGGAACGGAGCUUUAGCUUCUCGGGUGAUGUCCCUGGUUCUUUCUAUGACGGUUCUGAUGCGCCUCAUCACGCCGAAGAUGUCAAUCACUAUGCCUGGUCACCAGAAAGGCAUCCGGUCUUAAGAGAAUCCUCAAUAAAUGUUCCCAAACCAUGUUCAGUCCUGGAAACUGAUUCUCCUCGUUCAAGAUGCUAUUCAUGCUCAACAGGCCAUUCUCCUCCUACCUCUCCUGUUGCCUUACGAUGCAGGUCUACGAGGCUAGGCAGUUUAUUGAACAAGAAUGAAGUGCUAGACCGAUACAUUGAUGGAGAGCAGGAAGCUUCCAUCCAAAAUGAGAAGCUGAGGCAGAACUCUCCCACUAGAUCUGUGGUUUCGAAUUCAAGACGUCCGCCCCGACCCCAUUAUACAAUGCCAUCUUUGCAAAAAUCAAUGAAAGAGAACGUUGAGACCUACCCAAAUGUGGAUGCGAAGGAUGCCUAUGGAAGUAAAAACCAUGCAAGUGUUCUGGAUGAUUUUGGGAGGUUUCCACAUUUAGAAGAUUACAGAUCAGAAAGUAUUCCAUCCGUUGAAGAUAUCUAUGAGGAUUUCCAAGAUAUGCAACCUUCAAAAGUUAUUCAUGGUGCUCCCCAAUAUUUUCAUGAUCAUGACUUGGAUUUCGCCCCAGAAGGGCAAGAAACUGAUGAUAAGUUGCUUCAAAGGGCAAAAGAAGUUGAAGAGAGGUUUAUAACUCCUUCUGGAGACAAUCAUCAGCUUAACAUGUCCAGAUAUAAGCGAUUAAGCUCAAAUGAAAUGUUCCAGUUGAUUCAGUGUUUGACUGAAGACAGGAAACAGCUAGCAGAUGAAUUGUCUUCACAGAUUAAGGCACGCCUUGCAGAAAGGUUUAAUGCCAAAGAGAAGUACAAACAAUCAGUGAAAGAACUUGAGAUCAGAACUCGAAGGAUGGAGAAGGAGAAGACUGAAGUACAGAGUACUUUGGAGAGAGAGAUUGACAGAAGGUCAAACGAUUGGUCAGCCAGGCUGUUGAGAUUUCAAUCUGAAGAAGAGAGACUGCGUGAACGGGUGAGAGAACUUGCUGAGAAAAAUGUCUCAUUUCAGAGAGAACUCACUUCUCUUGAAGCAUACAAAGUUGAUGCAUCUGAUAAGGUUGCAAGUUUGGAAAUGCAAAACAUAAAACUAUCUGAUGAGCUAGAGAAACUAAAAAAUGAGCACAACAAUCUCCACAAUUCUUCAAUAGAGUUGCAUGCUCAAUUUUCUAAGGCAGCAGAGGAGAAGGAACAUAUCAGGGGAUUCUUGAAAGAUAAGGAGGGUGAUAACAAGGCAUUGCACCAAGUGGUUGCAAGGCUACAGACAAUAUGCAAUGAACAAGAAAAAACAAUUGCUGGCUUGAGACAGGGAUUCAGUGCUGAAUUGGAUAAGGAAUCUGUUCGGUCCAGCAGCGAGAGAAAGAAUAGGAUGCAGAUGGAACUCAUCAGGUUGUCAGGGGUGGAGCAGAAGUUGAGAGGUGAAGUUCAAUCUUGUCGUCUUGAAGUAGAAUCUCUUAGGCAAGAGAACAUUGCACUCUUAAAUCGUCUACAAACCACUGAAAAUGGAUCAAGCUUUUCCUCAAUUCGUCUUGGCCAGGAGCUUCAGGCCAAAGUGGACAACUUGCAGAACAAAGGCUUGUCGUUGCUUGAUAAGAGUAGCCAACUUUGCACCAAAUUGUUGGACCUCGUGAAAUGCAGGAGGCAUGAAAGUGAACAUGACAGAGAUAUUGAUGCAUUAGAUUACACACUGGAGCUCCAGAGCAUCAAAGGAGGAAUCGAGAAUCUGAAACGAAGCUUGCGGGCAACCAGUGCUGUGCUCGUUGAAAAGCAGAAUUUGAAAGAAAAAUCUGGAGAGGCUGCGGUUGGAGGUAGUCCUUUCAUGGAGCAAACGGAUGAGGUUAAUUUUGAGUUCAAACUGAAAGAGGAGGCUCUUCUGAAUAAAGUACUGAAGGAGGCACUUUUGUCAAAGGAACUUGACAUUGAACAGUUGCGGUCAGAUGUGGCAUCUUUGCUUCGUAUCCAAGAUGUCAUGAGGAAUGAGGUCCAGAGAGUCCAAGAUGAACUAUCCUGCAUCACCCACAAGGCUAAACAUUUGGAGCUUCAGGGUUCGAAGAAAGACGAGUCCAUUGACCAGAUCCAGCAGGAUUUCCAAGAAUCCGCCAAGGAGCUAAGCGCGCUCAGAGGACAGCUGAAAAUCGUGACCGACGAAAGGGACCUGUCGUGGCAGGAAGCGAAGCAGCUCCGCAAAACCACCAGCAUGAUGCAGAACGAGGUCGCGUCGCUGAAGAACAGGAUCGAGUCCCUCGAAGAGGACAUCCUUGUCAAGGAGGGGCAGAUCUCGAUCCUACAGGACAACGUCUACAAGCCGCCGCUCGACUUCAUCUGCAGCCCCAGGACGAUGAAGCAGUUCGGCAUGGAAUGA